CUAUGGCUGUCGUCAGCUAUGGCUAUCGUCAACUAUGGCUGUCGUCAGCUCGUGCCGUAAGGUAUCCUGUUAAGUCAGGAAACGAGCGCGACCCGCACCCGUAGUUACAACGAAGAGGAUUCCCUCUCCGGUACACUACGGGGACUGCCGGGGAAAUCCGGAGGAAGGCGCGGGCGACGGCAAGUCCGCAUGCCCCUAAUCUCCCGGGCUACACGCGCGCAACAAUGGGUGGGACAAUGGGAACCAACCCCGAAAGGGGAAGGAAAUCCCAAAAACCCACUCUUAGUCCAGAUUGAGGGUUGUAACUCGCCCUCAUGACGGUGGAAUCCCUAGUAAUCGGGGGUCACUAUUCCCCCGGUGAAUACGUCCCUGCCCUUU
This 378-nucleotide ribosomal RNA is filed under the name uncultured archaeon. Its description in RNAcentral is "bacterial SSU rRNA". It matches the Rfam family "Archaeal small subunit ribosomal RNA", at positions 959 to 1338 of the family's 1478-position model. The record is from RNAcentral.